This 253-nucleotide ribosomal RNA is filed under the name uncultured bacterium. RNAcentral describes it as "partial 16S ribosomal RNA". It matches the Rfam family "Bacterial small subunit ribosomal RNA", at positions 524 to 776 of the family's 1533-position model. The record is from RNAcentral.
UACGAACCGUCCAAACGUUAUUCGGAAUUACUGGGCUUAAAGGGUACGUAGGCGGCGCUGUCAGUCGGGUGUGAAAUCCCACGGCUCAACCGUGGAAUUGCGCCCGAUACUGCAGUGCUUGAGGGAGACAGAGGUAAGCGGAACUGAUGGUGGAGCGGUGAAAUGCGUUGAUAUCAUCAGGAACACCAGUGGCGAAAGCGGCUUACUGGGUCUCUUCUGACGCUGAGGUACGAAAGCCAGGGGAGCGAAGGGG